This is a non-coding RNA of Notechis scutatus (mainland tiger snake), 191 nucleotides long. Lineage: Eukaryota; Metazoa; Chordata; Lepidosauria; Squamata; Elapidae. The record is from RefSeq and is a predicted model, not a curated record.
GCAGAUACAUAAUCUCGACCUUCACCUGACAGAGUUGGAUGGUUAGGGCUGUGCCAGAAAACAUCUUGCUCCUGCCAUUUGGGCUGAGAUGACCUUCCAUCACCUACAGCUGAUAGAAGGUAGCAGGGUAGGGCUGGUGUCACUAUGUACUUGCCUUCUGCGGCUAGUAGCUACUUCCCAUUCAGGACCUA